GNCUCAGAAUGAACGCUGGCGGCGUGCUUAACACAUGCAAGCUCGUACGAGAACACCCUAGCUUGCUAGGGUAAGUAAAGUGGCGCACGGGUGAGUAACGCGUGGGUAAUCUACCUUCGAAUUGGGGAUAACGUUGCGAAAGCGACGCUAAUACCGAAUAACAUCCAUUAAUCUUCGGGUUUUUGGAUCAAGGGUGGCCUCUACAUGUAAGCUACUGUUUGAAGAUGAGCCCGCGUACCAUUAGCUUGUUGGUGGGGUAAUGGCCUACCAAGGCAGCGAUGGUUAGCUGGUCUGAGAGGAUGAUCAGCCACACUGGAACUGACACACGGUCCAGACUCCUACGGGAGGCAGCAGUGAGGAAUUUUGCGCAAUGGGGGAAACCCUGACGCAGCAACGCCGCGUGAGUGAUGAAGGCUUUCGGGUCGUAAAGCUCUGUCAAGUGGGAAGAACCUGCAGUAUGCUAAUAUCAUAUUGCACUGACGGUACCACUGAAGGAAGCACCGGCUAACUCCGUGCCAGCAGCCGCGGUAAUACGGGGGGUGCAAGCGUUAUUCGGAAUCAUUGGGCGUAAAGGGCACGUAGGCGGCCUGGUAAGUCAGAUGUGAAAGCCCGGGGCUUAACCCCGGAAGUGCACUUGAAACUAUUAGACUUGAGUAUGGGAGAGGGAAGUGGAAUUCCUGGUGUAGCGGUGAAAUGCGUAGAUAUCAGGAGGAACAUCGGUGGCGAAGGCGACUUCCUGGACCAAUACUGACGCUGAGGCGCGAAGGCGUGGGGAGCAAAC
Molecule: ribosomal RNA, 781 nt
Filed under: uncultured Desulfosarcina sp.
Lineage: Bacteria; Pseudomonadati; Thermodesulfobacteriota; Desulfobacteria; Desulfobacterales; Desulfosarcinaceae
Description: bacterial SSU rRNA
Rfam family: Bacterial small subunit ribosomal RNA
Source: RNAcentral